Non-coding RNA from Physcomitrium patens, 821 nucleotides. NCBI's taxonomy places the organism in Eukaryota, Viridiplantae, Streptophyta, Bryopsida, Funariales, Funariaceae. The record is from RefSeq and is a predicted model, not a curated record.
AUAUCAAAGGAGUAUCACCUAGACAUUAAACUAUUCCACUCGUAUUCUUGCUGAGUGAGAGAGAUAGCAUUGCGUUUUGUGCUCACUGCACGUAUGAUGCAUUACAUCAUACGAGCAUGCUCGUAGGAUUGAAGGAGCGUUGUCUGGAAUUUUCUCUGCCUUGAAGCCAUUAAAAUUGAAGCUCAAGGAUCUCUCCUGAAUGCUCUUUUUCAGGGCUUUUUAGCACUUCGGAGUCUCUUGGUCCCUCUCUGAGUGUGUUUCUUGAAUCCAACAUACGAUGUGAUAAGUGAAGUUCUAGUUCAUUUAUGAGGUCACUUGCUGCUUUGAAUUGGAUUAUAGAGAGGAGCUUGAAUUCAAAACAUCAAAUCAAUGUGAAGAGGCGGAGAGGUUACGAUCAGAGCUAAAGCAUGUACAAGAAGAAUUAGAGGGCAUUAAGUCACAGUCUAUCGCUCUGAGGAGAGACUUAGAGGAGGCCAAAGAGGUCAAGUCACAUGCAGAACAACGGAUGUAUCAGGAGGAUGGAAGAGGCAGAACACGUGGAAAAUCGCUCAACGGGAUGUAAAGCAUGCCAUCGAAGCCGCUAAGAAAUCUUCAUUUGAAGCAGUUGCUAAAAAAAGAGAAAAGUUAGAGACUCAGAAACUAGCUGCAGAGAGAAUGACAGCAGUCAAUCGAAAUUCAGCUCUUUCAAUGUUGCAGAUUUAUAACAUGGGACAGAUUGAUAACCUCCAGAGCCAACUGUUUAGAGUGCACGAUGUCCUGAUGUAAUAUGACUAUAUAGUGAAAUUAUAAUCAAGAUUGGAUUUCUAGUUAAUAUCUAAUUA